AUUGAUUGACGCGGAGAAACGAGCUCGCAGCGGUGCAGUUCCACUUGUGGACUCUAGAGGGCGGAAUAGACAAGUGCAACUAGCUGCGAGCUAACAUUAGCCGCCGAUCGCUCCAUGAUCACAGCGGUCGUUAUCCCCCGUUUGGACCUGACGUGUGCAGCUUAGUUCAGACUGACGGCGCUGAGGAGCCAUGCAGAAGUAUGAGAAGCUGGAGAAAAUCGGAGAGGGCACCUACGGCACCGUUUUCAAGGCCAAAAACCGGGAGACGCACGAGAUCGUGGCGCUGAAAAGGGUCCGGUUGGACGACGAUGACGAGGGAGUGCCGAGCUCCGCGCUGAGAGAAAUCUGCCUGCUGAAGGAGCUCAAACACAAGAACAUCGUCAGGCUGCACGACGUGUUGCACAGCGACAAGAAGCUGACCUUGGUGUUCGAGUACUGCGACCAGGAUCUGAAGAAGUACUUUGACAGCUGCAACGGAGAUCUGGAUCCGGAGACGGUGAAGUCCUUCAUGUACCAGCUCCUGAAGGGUCUGGCCUUCUGCCACAGUCGCAACGUUCUUCAUCGAGACCUGAAGCCUCAGAAUCUGCUCAUCAACAGAAACGGAGAAUUGAAGCUGGCGGACUUUGGUCUGGCUCGGGCGUUUGGCAUCCCAGUGCGCUGUUACUCCGCCGAGGUGGUGACGCUGUGGUACCGGCCCCCGGACGUGCUCUUCGGUGCUAAACUUUACUCUACCUCCAUCGACAUGUGGUCUGCUGGAUGCAUCUUUGCAGAGCUGGCCAACGCUGGACGGCCGCUGUUUCCCGGGAAUGACGUGGACGACCAGCUGAAAAGAAUCUUCAGAUUGUUAGGGACGCCGACCGAGGAGCAGUGGCAGACCAUGACCAAGCUCCCGGAUUACAAGCCCUAUCCUCUGUAUCCUGCCACCACUUCGCUGGUCAACGUGGUCCCCAAACUCAGCAGCACCGGACGAGAUCUGCUCCAGAACCUCCUCAAGUGUAACCCAGUCCAGAGGAUUUCAGCGGAAGAAGCCCUGCAGCAUCCGUACUUCGCCGACUUCUGCCCUCCGUAAACAGCCGCCCGCCCGCCAGCCCCAAGCUCCGCCUCCAUCCUCCUCCACCCCACCAAGGGAAAAAAUCAGAUACUGCAGUAGCAUAUGUCACCAGCAUGAAAACGGUCGGACGGAUGCGAGAAUCGCCGCCUCCUUCCACUCCAGUGAUGACCUUAGCAACGCAGCAGCACAUCCAGGCGUCCAUGUAUUGAAUAGGGAUGAAGCGGACUUUACGUAUCAGGACCAUGUCAGACCAUCAGGUACUGUGGCGACUUCAGCGUCUCACACUCGAGCAGCCAGCCGGAGGUCAGGGCUCGUCUGAGCUUCCCAAACCUCCGCUGUCAUGGCCCGAGAGUGACGGUGUCUCGUCUCCAUAAACACCCUCAAAUCAAACGGCGGCGGUAAAAAAAAAUCGUUGGGCAACAACGAGGUUGAACUCAUUUAUUGCUCAUGACACAACAGAGUCACUUGUGUAUGAUCUUUAAUGAGGACUCGCAUGACUAACAACACAGCGUCUGUAACAGUGUCGGCCAUUUUGGCUGCAUGGCUGAUCUCCAGGGGCUUGUGCUUCACACCACCGACAGUCGUCAACACACCCUUCACAGAGGUCACGUUGGCUGCAGUCCUGCGCCUUGCGCUUGGAAGAUGAUGAACAUGGCCCUGAACUCGUGUGGACAGGAAGCGCAGCGACAGCCUCGCUCGUGAUUGGUGUAAAUAGAGUUUAUUAUACUUGGUUUAUACAUCACAAACCCUUCUUUGUGACUCGUUACAUGGUCUUGAUAAUAAGAGUAAUAACAGGAUACCACGGUAAAACUGUACAAUGCAUUUCUGUUAUAAAUGAAGCGAGCGAAAGGGGGCGCUGUUUGAGGCAAUUCUGUUCUAAUGAAGUCCAGUCACCCCAGUCAUUACAAAACUGGAAGGCGAGGUGCAGUCGCUCUGCCCUCCGACACCACUGCGACACGUGGUCUGCCUCCAACACAGGGCUCGGAUCAGCGCUGGGGACCACCGCGGCCUUUGUGCUGAUGAACACCGCUAAGACACUGAUGACGGUACGCUGCUGUUCAGUAGUAAAUAAGGCAAAGAAAAGCCCGAUUGCUUCUAGUCUAAGUCAACAGCUAACUUUACAGCAUUUACAGUCUCUGUUCAGUCCGUCUGUCACAGUGCGUCCCAGGAAAUGGGAAACAAUCGUGGAGUCUUGAAAGACCCGCCAGACCCGCUGCUCUCUUUCAGGCCCAAGGUUCCCUGUCAAAAACGCCUCGCACUCUUGGCGGACACUUCUCCUGUCUUCUGGAAGGAAAGCCAGGAGGGGCAACGUUUGGAGAUGAACAGAAACUUCAAGUUUCAAUGGAGAAAAAUAUCCACUUUUUUUUCCACUUCUGUUUCCACAUUUACGUCCCAAUGUUGCCCCCCCUACAUCCCACAGUUCCCUCACUCACGAGGCCCGGCUCAUCGUCUCCUGCCCCACCAGCAGGACCGUCCUGCCAGGAGACGGUGGCGUGUGCUCGGGCUGCACAACGCUCGACUUGCUAUGGAAGUCCCAGGACCCAGCACUGGCCACUUUUCCUAGCUGAACUGUGACUCACAAGGUCAAAACCGCCCAACUCUCACCUGGGAAUGGACCAACCUCUGUAGUCCAUGAACCCCAGCUGGUGCAAGAUGUUCACCGCUAACCCGCCAAAUUAGCUUAGCGAGCCCAAGCUCAACACACCUAGCUCUUCUGUGACCCGCGUUAAACAUUAGCAACUCACUUUCUUCUGCGUUCAUGAAUCCACUUGCCCUGACGCUCAACACCACUCAAUGCUCUGGUGUAGCCUAGCGGCGACUGUGAUGCUAGCUCAGGUGCGAGCGCCAGCUGUGAGCCCAGCCGACAGCCAGCGUCGUCCUCGCUCGCCUGCUCGCUGCAUGCAAGCGGCCAUGCUAAAGCUACACAUUAGCCAGCUAACUCUUGACCUAGCUUAACCUUUCAGCCUGUUGACGUCGAAAUAGUCUCUCAAGUCAAGAUAUCUUGGACCAGUGGUUCGUAACUGGUGCCAGACAGCAGCUGGAUCCGGCCCAGAUCUGAUGACUUGUGGCUGGAUCUGGUCUGGAUCCGCCCAGACGGACACCUGCCGCAGAGUUCGAGGGGCAUGUGGCCUGGAGUAUAUCCAGCCCAGAUCAGUUUUACUAUCUGGACCGGGUCAGAACCCACAGGUGGGUCGUGGGUCUUUUCCUGUGAAAAAAAAUCAGCUUCUUUUAUUUUCUCCUGCAGUCUGAUGAGUACAUCAGGUGCUGCCGGCACUUGUCAUAUUGGGUGGUUUAGGGAGGAAGGAGGCCCCCAAAGCCAGGCCACUGGCCUUCAGUCGCAGCGGGUCUGGUCAGGAUCGGACCUCCCCUGCCGCUCGCCUCAGCUGAAGCGCUAAGUCGAACUAGCUGCUUGGGUCUGGGGAGGUUGUGCCGCCCGAGCGCCGCCCGAGCGCCGCCCGAGCGCCGCCCGAGCGCCGCUCGGCCCGUGGGGCGUGACAGUCAAAGCAAGAGUGUCAGAAGGCAACAUUCGUGUCCUGGGCUGAAAGAGAGGCUCUGGUGUUUACACGGUGACAGACGAUGAGGUCACUCAGCGCAGCAGAGACGCUGCAACACAAACCAGCGGAAACAAACACCAAACGUCCCUCUGGCGAUGGGCGGAGCCGCACAAACACAUGGAUAAAUAAACGCCUCGACGGGGCAGUUGAACCUGAGAUCUGUUUGGGAGGUUUUCUUCUUCUAGUGAUUCUAUUCAGGCGUGGAUUCUUUUCUCGGCUAAAUAUGGAAAUGGUUUCACAGUUUUCCGUCCAGUCCCCAGACAGCCACUGAGCAGUCCUGUCAACAGGCAAACUCCUCCAGGUUGCCUAGAGCCGGGUGACAAGGUAGCAUGUUCGGCGCGAAUCCGAGACUGUCCGAGUGACUCCGGAGGGUGUCACAGGUGCUCUGC
Molecule: RNA transcript, 3995 nt
Organism: Synchiropus splendidus (mandarinfish)
Lineage: Eukaryota; Metazoa; Chordata; Actinopteri; Syngnathiformes; Callionymidae
Gene: cdk5
Gene name: cyclin-dependent kinase 5
Exons: 13
Source: RefSeq, a predicted model, not a curated record